GAUGAAGAACGUAGUGAAAUGCGAUACUUGGUGUGAAUUGCAGAAUCCCGCGAAUCAUCGAGUUUUUGAACGCAAGUUGCGCCCGAAGCCAUUCGGCCGAGGGCACGUCUGCCUGGGUGUCACGCAUCGUUGCCCCCCCAAACUCCGGUUCGGGCAGGGCGGAAGUUGGCCUCCCGUGCGUGCCUGCGCGCGCGGUUAGCCCAAAAGCGAGUCCUCGGCGACGAGCGCCACGACAAUCGGUGGUUUUUUUACCCUCGUUCCUCGUCGUGCGUGCCCCGUCGCCCGAACGCGCUCUUGCGACCCUUACGCGUCGCCUCGGCGGCGCUCCCAACGCGACCCCAGGUCAGGCGGGACUACCCGCUGAGUUUAAGCAUAUCAAUAAGCGGAGGA
RNAcentral lists this unclassified non-coding RNA (390 nucleotides) under soil metagenome. RNAcentral's name for it is "partial contains 5.8S ribosomal RNA, internal transcribed spacer 2, and large subunit ribosomal RNA". The stretch from base 1 to 122 matches the Rfam family "5.8S ribosomal RNA", at positions 35 to 154 of the family's 154-position model. The record is from RNAcentral.